RNAcentral lists this ribosomal RNA (1735 nucleotides) under Triticum aestivum (bread wheat). RNAcentral's name for it is "partial small subunit ribosomal RNA". The record is from RNAcentral. Lineage: Eukaryota; Viridiplantae; Streptophyta; Magnoliopsida; Poales; Poaceae.
AUCCAUCGCAACAACAAACAAGACUCCCAAAGACAUUAAUCCGGAGCUCAGCCCCGAGUGAUGGCGGCAUGUGCAGCUGCUUACCCGGGAGGGGAAGGGGGACGAAAAUAUCUUGGCCGGGGUGGCACGUAGGCGGGCGGCAUGGCUCCCGCGCGGCAGCCAUUGAUGGCCGCACGCGCAGGGCAGGUGGCGGGCAGGCGGCCGCCAUGACCACGGUGGAUGGGUGCCGUCAGCAGAGCCUCGCCUUCGCCACGAAGAAAAGAAAGAGAGCGAGGCAAGGCGGGCGCCGGAGGCAAGCCGAACCUACCGCCUCCGCACGCGAAUUCAAUGCGCCGGUCACGGGUUGGUUGGCGCCAUAAAGUCGCCCCCUUUCCCGUCCCCCUCCCCUCUUCUUUGCUUCCGUCCCUCCACCCCUCUCUCUCUUCCUGCCUCGUCCUCUCCUCGUCGGUUGGCUCCCCUCCUCGGAUCCCUCGCCAGACCCGAUCCAGCUCCGCCGGCUGCUGUUGUUCUCUGUUUCUUCUCUGUGCGUGUGGGUGGGUGAUCUAAGGGGUUGAAGGAGGAGUGGGGAGUGGGGAGUGGGGGAGCGGGCGGGGGAUGGAUCCGUCGGGCGCGUUCGCGCGGAGCUCCAGCAAUGUGUCGCUGGCGUCGCUGGUGAGGAGCGGGAGCGGCGGGAGCAGCGGGAGUAGCGGGAGCAGCCGCGGGAGGGGCGGGAGCCGGAGGAUGGUGCGCCGGGUGCUCCGCGGCGUCAUCACCUUCAUCUUCGCCAUCGCCGGCCUGUUCCUGGGAGCCGUCACGGGCGGGCUGAUCGGCCUGGCCACGGAGAGCGGCCUCUUCCGCGGCACCGGCAUCGGCGCCAUCACCGGCGCGCUCGUGUCCAUCGAGGUCGUCGACUCCUCCAUCCGCCUCUGGCGCUCCCGCCGGUCCGGGAUCUGGAGCAUCCUGUACGUGCUUAAUGUGAUCUACAGCCUCCUGACGGGCCGGCUCGUCCGUGAGAAGGUUGAUCCGGCAGUGCAGCGGGUGGUCCGCAGCCAGAUGAAUGCAGUGGACUCAUCGCAGUUCAGGGAGGCCCCUGACCUCUUCGAGAUCGAGGGAACCAACGGCAUGCCGAGGGCGUCCAUCGAGAAACUGCCCGAGGGCACUAUCACCGAGGAGUAUAACCGGAAUGCCGUCGGUGACCUCUACGGGUGCUCAGUAUGCCUGCAGGAUUUCCAGAUUGGUGAGAAGGUGCGGAGCCUGCCCGAUUGCCUGCACGUGUUCCACGUGCCGUGCAUCGACGGCUGGCUGAUCAAGCACGGAUCAUGCCCACUCUGCAGGAGGAAGCUCUAGAUCAUCAUCACCAUCAUCAUCAUCAUCCACGACCGACGACGACGACCGAUGAGGAACUUCUGAAAUUCUGUCUGCUGCUAUUAGGAAGGAGGUCUUGCUCUGCUUGCUGCUUUGCAUGCUGUGUGUGCGCGCGCUAUGCCUGUGUUGCUGUUGCUGCUGUUAGGAGGCUGACAUAUCUAUAGAACGAACCCUAAAUUUAUAGAGCUCUUCUUUUUUUUGCCUUUGCAUUUUGAUUUUUGAUCUCUCUCUUCUCCUGGUGGAUGUAAUAUAGUAGUACGUACGACCACCGGGGAAAAAAAAGCACUGGACCGGCUUGCGCUUCGUUGUUGUUCUCCGGACUGAUGAACUCCUCAUAUCAUCAUGUAAUGUUAUAUAUAUCACACUGCUAUUGUACAAUAUCUUGCGUGCA